GACGAACGCUGGCGGCGUGCUUAACACAUGCAAGUCGAACGGAAAGGCCCUGCUUUUGUGGGGUGCUCGAGUGGCGAAAGGGUGAGUAACACGUGAGUAACCUGCCCUUGACUUUGGGAUAACUUCAGGAAACUGGGGCUAAUACCGGAUAGGAGCUCCUGCUGCAUGGUGGGGGUUGGAAAGUUUCGGCGGUUGGGGAUGGACUCGCGGCUUAUCAGCUUGUUGGUGGGGUAGUGGCUUACCAAGGCUUUGACGGGUAGCCGGCCUGAGAGGGUGACCGGCCACAUUGGGACUGAGAUACGGCCCAGACUCCUACGGGAGGCAGCAGUGGGGAAUAUUGCACAAUGGGCGGCAGCCUGAUGCAGCAACGCCGCGUGCGGGAUGACGGCCUUCGGGUUGUAAACCGCUUUCGCCUGUGACGAAGCGUGAGUGACGGUAAUGGGUAAAGAAGCACCGGCUAACUACGUG
This 468-nucleotide ribosomal RNA is filed under the name uncultured bacterium. Its description in RNAcentral is "partial 16S ribosomal RNA". It matches the Rfam family "Bacterial small subunit ribosomal RNA", at positions 28 to 507 of the family's 1533-position model. The record is from RNAcentral.